CUGCCCCCGCACCUCUUGUCAGUUUCUGUCUGCUUCUCUUUCUUCACCGAUGUGUAGAACAAACUCGGCCACCCAAUGAAUAUUUCAUCCUCUUCACUAUUUUACUGCGCAGUGUGUGUAACACACACACACACGCAGCGCUGUGUCUGUUGGAAAUAUUUAGCCAUCGCGCGCGUUCCUGUAUAUGUACACCGUAAGGAGAGAUAAUUUGAUUUGAUCAAAUAAGACGAACAACAAAUUGAAAGGAGGAAGACCUCCUGUCGUGUUUUACAGACGUAAAGAUGGCCAAGGGGAACGUCGACUAUUCGAAUGCUCGUUACAACAAGGAGGGCACGUGAACGUGAUUGGCUAUUCGUAUAUCGAUGAUCCUACCGGUGAAUCGUUCGUUUAUUUUUUUUCGAUAUUUUUCUUGAAAAUGCUCUCUCUGUUUUACGAAAUUCUUUUCAGUAUAGAAAGAAGCAAAGACAAGCUGACAGUGCGGAAGAACGAUCGCGCAUUUUUUUCGCUAUUUCCAAAAGAAAAGAGGUGUUAUCAAAUAAAUAACUGCAUACCGUUACUCACGGUGAAUACAAUCAACGAAUGGGACAUAUGUACACAAAACGAUAAAUAAGAGAGAUUCAAUAUUACUGGCAUCUCAUCAUCACCAUCUUCUUUCCUUGGCAGAGAGAAGAGGCUUGCAGGCCUCUUUUCGAAUAAAUAUAAAUAUACACCAAACGUGCUUGAGAUAAUGAAGCGAACGCCGUGUGCUGUGCGCGGAAUCGGGAACGGCCAGAGAAAAAGAACCGCCAUUGCCAGGAAGAAAUCAACCAGCCAUAGAGCUGGAUGGAAGCAUGUCCUUAAAAAGAUGGAAUUAAAAAAAAAAAAAAAAAGAAAAAAAACUAAAAACAGUAGGGGGUCUCUUCAUUUUAAUAUUCUUGGUCCAACCCCCCCGCUGACUUUGAAAAAAAAAAAAAGUCUCAAAGCCAAAAGAAAAACAGGUACAAGAUUUGGAAACGAUGGGGGGAAGAAAGAAAGAAAAAAAAAAGGAAGAAAAACAUGGAACAUUAUGCAUCGCUUCUUUCUUAUAUCAAAUAUUAUGCAUUAUAUAUACGUAUACAUUUGAUAUUAUUCUGUGGUGUAUUAUAUAUGUAUAAGUGCAAGAAGAGGUCGUUGAUGCCACUCGAACGCACGUAUAGAUGUACGUUAAAAAGCAAAUGAAACAGAGAAAAAUAGAUAACCGAAUCAAUGUCUUUA
This is a long non-coding RNA of Daphnia magna, 1233 nucleotides long. RefSeq lists it as uncharacterized. NCBI's taxonomy places the organism in Eukaryota, Metazoa, Arthropoda, Branchiopoda, Diplostraca, Daphniidae. The record is from RefSeq and is a predicted model, not a curated record. The transcript has 3 exons.